Lagenorhynchus albirostris (white-beaked dolphin) is the source of this 1457-nucleotide long non-coding RNA. RefSeq lists it as uncharacterized. The transcript has 6 exons. NCBI's taxonomy places the organism in Eukaryota, Metazoa, Chordata, Mammalia, Artiodactyla, Delphinidae. The record is from RefSeq and is a predicted model, not a curated record.
GGCCCCGCCGCCAACGGCUGUGGAACGACGGGCGCCCAGACCCCGGCGCUGCCACCGCUAGGGCCCUGGAGACGCAUCGCCCUUAGAGCCCGAACUAGCUGGGGUCUCGUUCCUGUGGUGACUGCUGCUCAGGCCUGCUCUCCCCGCACAAGCUCCCGCACAAGCUCCGCCCACACCGUCCAAAAGUGAAAUAAAAUACUACUUGCUUAAUGGACUGAGCAACCAUAAGAUGACAAAUGUGACACACUGAGAGGGCAAUGUGACUGCAAUAUACAAAGUGCCUCCUCAUGGACCAGAGAUAGGAUUUCAGAUUUCUACAUUGCACUACUGACAAUUUCAUGUGUAACAAGAGCUAACGCUUCUUUUGGAGACCAUCCAGGAAAACAUACUGAAAGGGUUUUCCAUCACCAUGAUAGUCAAGCUAUGCAGGGUUCCAGGACCCAUUUGUAUUCUACAUGUGUUGAUCCAUUCUGAUCUCCACAAACUGUGUUAUGUGCCAGCAUCAUCUUGAUAACCUCAAGCUGCAUAGUCAGAACCCAGCCUAUCUGUGGAGAAAGAAGCAGGACAGUCCACUGUGUUUCCUGGAAAUUUAAAAAUCGGCAGCUAGGAAGACUGAGAAAAUCGAGUUAAAUCUCUCAGGCUGGUCUGUGGAGGUGCAACCAGUUGGAAUUCCUUCUGGAAGUGAAAGUAAAAUACCUGCUGUGAAAGAAGCAAACGAAUGCAAAUGUUGUGACCCCAACUGUUACUAGUCUCACUAAAAUUUUGAUCUUGGAAAGAACACGCCUCCACUGGACAAGUCGUUUUGUUCUUCUGGGAAGGAAUUAAUACAUGGGAUGAAAGGAGGGUCAAUGGACAGCUACCACUACCUAAAUCCCUUAGCUUUAAGUGGGAGUAAUUGACAUAGCUGCCCGCAAGCCCACCUGUGCUUUAAAACGAGUAAAAGGAGGGGGUUACAGGGAUGACGGGAGCCUAGGAGAGAAAGGGGCGAAAAGCAAAAACGAAAUGAUUCUAAGGAAGGAUAGGGGCGGCUGCUCCACUGCCCCGGCACAGGUAUCAAACGACUGGAAAUGCAUAAUCUGAAAAGUGCUUUUCUACGUGGAAAUCAGCGGUGGAGCCGAUUCUUCUACGUUCCUCGGAGUAACGGUCAGCCUAGGAUUCCACGAGCACUUCACUUGGGUUUCUCUUCUAACUCUCUGCCCUCCUGGAAAAGUGUUACUUUCUACCGACUUCAUAUGUCAGAGAAACAAACCUCCUUCGACUUGAGGAGCUUCUAAAACGCUUUACUUCCCUGAAAAGUGAAAACAGGUGAGACCGAAACAAGCACUUUUGUCCGGAGUCUGAAAUACAGAAAAAUCAGCAGCUGGGCUUCCCUGGUGGCGCAGUGGUUGAGAGUCCGCCUGCCGAUGCAGGGGACACGGGUUCGUGCCCCGGUCCGGGAGGAUCCCACAUGCCGUGGA